UGGGGAAUAUUGCACAAUGGGCGAAAGCCUGAUGCAGCGACGCCGCGUGAGGGAUGACGGCCUUCGGGUUGUAAACCUCUUUCAGUAGGGACGAAGCGCAAGUGCCGGUACCUGCAGAAGAAGCACCGGCUAACUACGUGCCAGCAGCCGCGGUAAUACGUAGGGUGCGAGCGUUGUCCGGAAUUACUUGGCGUAAAGAGCUCGUAGGCGGUUUGUCACGUCGUCUGUGAAAUCCUAGGGCUUAACCCUGGACGUGCAGGCGAUACGGGCUGACUUGAGUACUACAGGGGAGACUGGAAUUUCUGGUGUAGCGGUGGAAUGCACAGAUAUCAGGAAGAACACCGAUGGCGAAGGCAGGUCUCUGGGUAGUAACUGACGCUGAGGAGCGAAAGCAUGGGGAGCGAACAGG
RNAcentral lists this ribosomal RNA (409 nucleotides) under bacterium. RNAcentral describes it as "partial 16S ribosomal RNA". It matches the Rfam family "Bacterial small subunit ribosomal RNA", at positions 355 to 776 of the family's 1533-position model. The record is from RNAcentral.